AGCAAUCUGCCUUGGAGUGGGGAAUAACGGUUGGAAACAGCCGCUAAUACCGCAUGAUGCGUCUGGGAGGCAUCUCUCUGGACGCCAAAGAUUUAUCGCUCUGAGAUGAGCUCGCGUCUGAUUAGCUUGUUGGCGGGUAAGCCCACCAAGGCGACGAUCAGUAGCCGGACUGAGAGGUUGGCCGGCCACAUUGGGACUGAGACACGGCCCAGACUCCUACGGAAGGCAGCAG
RNAcentral lists this ribosomal RNA (232 nucleotides) under uncultured bacterium. RNAcentral describes it as "partial 16S ribosomal RNA". It matches the Rfam family "Bacterial small subunit ribosomal RNA", at positions 120 to 354 of the family's 1533-position model. The record is from RNAcentral.